This 396-nucleotide ribosomal RNA is filed under the name Triticum aestivum (bread wheat). RNAcentral describes it as "partial small subunit ribosomal RNA". The record is from RNAcentral. Lineage: Eukaryota; Viridiplantae; Streptophyta; Magnoliopsida; Poales; Poaceae.
AUGAUACAAUGCCCGGGCCGGCAGAUCCUAGUGAAGUCAGUGAUCUCCGCUCGGCCGAUUCAUCAGCUAUUGGUCCUUGAUGCCCCGACAUGGGUCAUGGAGGAAAUUGACAAGUCUAUGCAGUCCUUCUUCUAGGCCGGCAAGGAAAAGGUUAAAGACGGACAAUGUCUCGUUGCCUGGGACACCAUAUGUAGACCAACGUGUUAUGGAGGUUUGGGGGUCAAGAAUCUGCAGCUGUAAGCGUUAGCACUUCGGGUCCAAUGGGAGUGGCUUCGCCGGAUGGACCAGUCGAGGCCAUGGCAGGGCAUCAAGAUGAUAGAGGACAAGGAGGCGAAACUGGUUUUUGACAAUAUUUUAAAAAUUCUAGUGGGCAGUGGCGCGAGAGUACUUUUCUGA